This is a long non-coding RNA of Manis pentadactyla (Chinese pangolin), 1965 nucleotides long. RefSeq lists it as uncharacterized. NCBI's taxonomy places the organism in Eukaryota, Metazoa, Chordata, Mammalia, Pholidota, Manidae. The transcript has 3 exons. The record is from RefSeq and is a predicted model, not a curated record.
CUGGGAGUCGCGAGUGGUCUUCGUGUCUGUGUGAGCUGCAGAGGUCGCUGCGUUGGGACCUCUUCCAACGAUGCCCCUGAAGAGGUUUAGAACCUUGACUUCAGGAGGGAGCUAGAGGAGAAAGAGAGAGCUGCUGCAAGAGAAAAAAAUAGAGAUCGUCCAACUCGAGAGCAUACAACCUCCUCUUCAGUGUCCAAGAAGCCUCGAUUAGACCAGAUCCCGGCCGCCAACCUCGAUGCGGAUGACCCUCUAACAGACGUGUGUUUCGUUUCCUCCAUUCAUCUUCUUCUUUUUUUUUUACCAUUUUAAUUUUAUUUAUCAUGCUUCCUGAAAUACUUUUAUUCUUUUGGCUUUAAGAAGUGAUGUGUGUGUAUUUUUACUUACUGCUAUUCACAUGUGGUCCUGUCUUCAAUGCUAAACUUUAUAGCUGAUUUUAAAACAAAAAGUAUUAUUGUGUGGUUGAUCCAACUUCAGUAACAAGUUUGAUCUCUGGAGAGCCAAAUAGGAAAGUAAGCUCUUAAAGGGUACAUAUGCUUUCCUAAAAAAUAAUUCCCCGUAUUAAGCCCUGGAGAUUGACUACUAUGUUACAUGCCUCCAGGGGGCAUUCUUCAUACUGGGCUUUCUAUCAACAGCAUCCCUUAGAGUUGAAUCCAGGGGUCUUUGCACAUUAGAUACCAAAGGUGUCCCUUCCAGAUGUGCAGGCUGCUUAAUGGCUCCCUCUGUGCUUAGGGAAGGAAGUGAUCUUUGUGGAAGGGUUUUUAGGAUUAGUGUUUCAAUUAACAUUAAAAUUUCAGUGGGACUCUAUAAUUAAUUUGCAGUUUUCUACAUAUAGUGGAAAAAUCUGAAUGGCGUUUCAUGCGAAACAUCUAAGUACAUAUAUCAAAAUUAAUUCUAAGGUUGACAGAUUGAAUUAAAUACUUAACACUGUAAUUAAAGGGAACCCAAUUUUAAGUGAAAUUUAAUUAGAUUGUUCAUUUGAAAUUAUUAUGAGAAUUUAGCACCCUUUUUUGUACUUUCAUUAUCCUUACUUCCUACUUAAAGUAGUUUUGAGCUACAUAAAAUGAUUUAAUCCUCAGGGUUAUACACUGUGUAUGUGUACUGUGUGUCAGUGUGAAGUUUUCCUUUUCUGAUUCUAGAAAUACAGUUGACCCUUAAGCAGCACAGGUCUGAACUACAUGGGUCCACUUCAAUGGAGUUUUAUGUUUUUUUGUGGAUUUUUUCAGUAAAUGUAUUGGACAGUUUUUUGGACAUUCGUGACAAUUUGAAAAAACAUUUUCUUUCCUCUAACUUUAUUGUAAGAAUACAGUAUAUAGUACACAUAACAUACAAAGUAUGUGUUAAUCAACUGUUUAUAUUACUUGUAAGGUUUCUCAUCAACAGUAAGCUAUUCGUUUUUGGGGAGUCAAAAGUUACACAGAUUUUUGACCAUGUGAGGGAUUGGCACCUCUAAUGCCCAUGUUGUUCGAAGGUCAACUGUGUUUUCAUAUUUAAGCGCCCUUUUGACCAUGUAAAUUUGAAAGAUAAUUUGUUAUGCUGUUCACCAUUACAAGCUCUCAAACAUAGCAGGGGUGACAUUUUAGCAUGUACUGAAAGGCAUGUUUGUGGGGUUUUCUUUUUUUGUUGGUUGGUGAUUUUAGUCAUAUUUAGGUACGUUUAUCUUCCCCAGUGGGAAAAUUAAUCCUGCUGAAAGAUUUGGCAAGUGCAAUUUUUAUGGAAAAAAGUGAUAGUGUUCAUUUUCACUCUAGUCUUGUUACUUUUAGUACUACUCCAGCCCAAGUUAUGUUUAGAAUUCCCUAUUGAAGCUCCUGAAUAUUACUGUUCUUUACCCUGUCAAUUCCUCACAGAUUUAUUGUCUCUUUGUCUAAAAUGUAAAAAUUGCCUUCUUUGUCAUUUCUUUAUGUUUCAAUUUCAUUAUUGGGCCUCUGUGUGCAUAUAAUUAAACUUCAGUUUUUUUUCUCUUGUUAA